Molecule: ribosomal RNA, 376 nt
Filed under: uncultured organism
Description: partial 16S ribosomal RNA
Rfam family: Bacterial small subunit ribosomal RNA
Source: RNAcentral
GUAGGUGGCAAGCGUUGUCCGGAAUUAUUGGGGCGUAAAGCGCGCGCAGGCGGUUCUUUAAGUCUGAUGUGAAAGCCCACGGGCUCAACCGUGGAGGGUCAUUGGAAACUGGAGAACUUGAGUACAGAAGAGGAAAGCGGAAUUCCACGUGUAGCGGUGAAAUGCGUAGAGAUGUGGAGGAACACCAGUGGCGAAGGCGGCGUUUCUGGUCUGUAACUGACGCUGAGGCGCGAAAGCGUGGGGAGCAAACAGGAUUAGAUACCCUGGUAGUCCACGCCGUAAACGAUGAGUGCUAAGUGUUAGGGGGUUUCCGCCCCUUAGUGCUGCAGCUAACGCAUUAAGCACUCCGCCUGGGGAGUACGGCCGCAAAGGCUGA